This 313-nucleotide ribosomal RNA is filed under the name Escherichia coli. Its description in RNAcentral is "partial 16S ribosomal RNA". It matches the Rfam family "Bacterial small subunit ribosomal RNA", at positions 1222 to 1533 of the family's 1533-position model. The record is from RNAcentral. RNAcentral also lists the same sequence under 1 other name. Lineage: Bacteria; Pseudomonadati; Pseudomonadota; Gammaproteobacteria; Enterobacterales; Enterobacteriaceae.
GUGCUACAAUGGACAAUACAAAGGGCAGCGAAACCGUGAGGUCAAGCAAAUCCCAUAAAGUUGUUCUCAGUUCGGAUUGUAGUCUGCAACUCGACUACAUGAAGCUGGAAUCGCUAGUAAUCGUAGAUCAGCAUGCUACGGUGAAUACGUUCCCGGGUCUUGUACACACCGCCCGUCACACCACGAGAGUUUGUAACACCCGAAGCCGGUGGAGUAACCUUUUAGGAGCUAGCCGUCGAAGGUGGGACAAAUGAUUGGGGUGAAGUCGUAACAAGGUAGCCGUAUCGGAAGGUGCGGCUGGAUCACCUCCUUU